This 637-nucleotide ribosomal RNA is filed under the name uncultured bacterium. RNAcentral describes it as "bacterial SSU rRNA". It matches the Rfam family "Bacterial small subunit ribosomal RNA", at positions 159 to 809 of the family's 1533-position model. The record is from RNAcentral.
GUGACUAAUACCGCAUAAUAUUCUUGGAAGGCAUCUUCCGAGAAGGAAAGGAAAUAUUCGGUAAAAGAUGGGCCCGCAUCUGAUUAGCUAGUUGGUGAGAUAACAGCCCACCAAGGCGACGAUCAGUAGCCGACCUGAGAGGGUGACCGGCCACAUUGGGACUGAGACACGGCCCAAACUCCUACGGGAGGCAGCAGUGGGGAAUAUUGCACAAUGGGGGGAACCCUGAUGCAGCAACGCCGCGUGAAGGAAGACGGUUUUCGGAUUGUAAACUUCUAUCAAUAGGGAAGAAAGAAAUGACGGUACCUAAAUAAGAAGCCCCGGCUAACUACGUGCCAGCAGCCGCGGUAAUACGUAGGGGGCAAGCGUUAUCCGGAAUUACUGGGUGUAAAGGGAGAGUAGGCGGCAAGGUAAGCGAUAUGUGAAAGCCUUAGGCUUAACCUGAGGAUUGCAUAACGAACUAUCUAGCUAGAGUACAGGAGAGGAAAGCGGAAUUCCUAGUGUAGCGGUGAAAUGCGUAGAUAUUAGGAAGAACACCCGUGGCGAAGGCGGCUUUCUGGACUGAAACUGACGCUGAGGCUCGAAAGCGUGGGGAGCGAACAGGAUUAGAUACCCUGGUAGUCCACGCUGUAAACGA